UACAGAGGUCCCAAGCGUUGUUCGGAUUCACUGGGCGUAAAGGGUGCGUAGGUGGCGGGGUAAGUCGGAUGUGAAAUCUCCGAGCUCAACUCGGAAAUGGCAUUGGAAACUACCUUGCUCGAGGGUUGGAGGGGGGACUGGAAUACUUGGUGUAGCAGUGAAAUGCGUAGAUAUCAAGUGGAACACCAGUGGCGAAGGCGAGUCCCUGGACAACUCCUGACACUGAGGCACGAAAGCUAGGGGAGCAAACAG
RNAcentral lists this ribosomal RNA (252 nucleotides) under uncultured bacterium. RNAcentral's name for it is "partial 16S ribosomal RNA". It matches the Rfam family "Bacterial small subunit ribosomal RNA", at positions 524 to 775 of the family's 1533-position model. The record is from RNAcentral.